Molecule: long non-coding RNA, 1645 nt
Filed under: Phasianus colchicus (ring-necked pheasant)
Lineage: Eukaryota; Metazoa; Chordata; Aves; Galliformes; Phasianidae
Description: lncRNA (ENSPCLG00000016552.1)
Source: RNAcentral
AUUUAUAUGUAUGCCCUGGCUAUGAAAAGUGUAAAUACAAACAUUUUGAUUUCAACAGGGUAGUAAAUGAUGGGAACAACUUUGUGAUGAUGUAUACUGUUCUGCUGGUAAUUUUAAAGGGUGGACAGACACCUGUGUGUUGGGAACUUGAUUUUUUUAAUUGGACUUGAUUCUUUUAUUGGACAGGUGGAUGGAUAGCUAUGGAUACAGUUUCAGAAGUCAGAUCAGAGGUGAGAAAUGCAAGUGUUUUAUUAACUCCUUUUCUUACAGGCAUUCAUUACCGAGAAUAACUGUUGAAUAAUCUCUGUGGUAAUCUGGAUUUUAGGGAUCAAGGAGAGCUUCAAGUCUAUAUUCUGAGAUUUGACAUUAUUUUGAUAAAAAGGUAUUAGAGAGAAGAAAGGAAUUAAAUGUGGUAUGACAGAGAAAGGUGGAAAAGAAGAGUUGAGAUGAAGAACUCUGGAAAUCAAUGGAGCUUCCCUGAAAAGUUUUUCUUUUCGUCACUUAGGCCCUUCCUGGCUGGGAUUGCUGUUUUUCUUAAGUGGUUAUCUCUAACAGACAUCUGACUCCUGUGUGAAAACAUUAAUUCCACCUGCUGAGGAAAGAAUGUAAGGCUGAAUAUCAUCAUAUUUACUUAAACUAGGGCAUAACUAGUCAAGGUACUAUCUUCUAAUGUAUUUUGAAGUGUUGGUAGACAUAAUAGGGGCAUAAGCUCACAUCUGGCUCUAAAACACAAGUCUUGUUAAAGAGUUUUUGUUCUUCUUUUGCAGUGGUAGCAGUUUACAUUUAAGUGAAUGACAUGUUUGUUGUCAUAAGAAAUAGGAUAUAAAAAUGAGAUGUUUAAAAAAAAAUUGUAUUUUCAGUGAUAUUUUGCUUUUUUUUUUCUGUCAUGUACGAGAAGAAGGAAAAGGAACAUUUUAUAUAGAUUUUUCUAGUGAAGUAGAAGUUUUUCUUCACCUUGAGCGACUGCAACAAGACCACCACUUUUGUGUGACCACUGAACACUGGCCUCAUUAAACCUUUUUGGAUGGUGCUGAAGACUUCAGUAGUGUUUCAAAGGACAGUGUGUACAUAGUGAAUUACCAAAUCCUUAGUGGAAUGAUCAGACAAUGAUUUCCUUGGCCACUUUGAUACAGGAAAAGCAAAAUAGAAAGAAAAAUGUUACAUUAAGUAUUUCUUUGAUGCUUUUAGCAGAGGGAUAGUGUGAUAGGACAUAACCAUUAUGAUGUUUUGUCUUGGCUAUCAGAUCUUCUAGAUAGGGAGCAUAUAUGGCAUGGUGAAAAAUAUGUAAAAACACGAUAGGGACUCAACACUGGCAGUAUGCAGUGACAAGACAUCACAGAAAUGGUGUGGUUUUUUUGUUUUUGUUUUUUAAUGGUAUAUCCAGAUUCUUAAUAAUGAAGUAAUAAUAUUCAGUGGCCAUUCACAGUGCUGCUAUUUUUUACAUAGAUAAUGCUCAACAUGUACAGUAGAAAGUGUACCCUUGAAUUUAUUUUAGAGUUACUGGUUCCACCUGUUUAUUUACCUACAUUUAAGCAUUUCUUAGCAAUUUCACUGUAACAUCUGCCACAUAGAAGGGCAUCAUGAUUUAUCUGCAGCUCUGAAUACAUUACUUGUUAACCUUUACAAACACCUAGCAUGACUCAUU